ACGGCAAAGCUUUAUUGCUUACAUCUUUAUCGGGCCAGAGUGUAAGAAGCAAGAGAGCGCAAGAAGCAAGAGAGAGAGAAAAACGAAACCCCUUCUAUUUUAAAGAGAACAACCAUUGCCUAGGGCGCAUCACUCCCUGAUUGGCUGCAGCCCAUGGCCGGGCUGACGUUCACGGGAAAAACAGAGUACAAGUGGUCGUAAAUACCCUUGGCUCAUGCGCAGAUUAUUUGUUUACCAACUUAGAACACAGGAUGUCAGCGCCAUCUUGUGACGGCGAAUGUGGGGGCGGCUUCCCACACUCCAGAGUGCUUGUCAGAAG
This 319-nucleotide non-coding RNA is filed under the name Mus musculus (house mouse). Lineage: Eukaryota; Metazoa; Chordata; Mammalia; Rodentia; Muridae. The record is from RNAcentral.